RNAcentral lists this ribosomal RNA (418 nucleotides) under Providencia rettgeri. Its description in RNAcentral is "bacterial SSU rRNA". It matches the Rfam family "Bacterial small subunit ribosomal RNA", at positions 1 to 416 of the family's 1533-position model. The record is from RNAcentral. Lineage: Bacteria; Pseudomonadati; Pseudomonadota; Gammaproteobacteria; Enterobacterales; Morganellaceae. RNAcentral also lists the same sequence under 1 other name.
UUAAUUGAAGAGUUUGAUCAUGGCUCAGAUUGAACGCUGGCGGCAGGCCUAACACAUGCAAGUCGAGCGGUAACAGGGGAAGCUUGCUUCCCGCUGACGAGCGGCGGACGGGUGAGUAAUGUAUGGGGAUCUGCCCGAUAGAGGGGGAUAACCACUGGAAACGGUGGCUAAUACCGCAUAAUCUCUUAGGAGCAAAGCAGGGGAACUUCGGUCCUUGCGCUAUCGGAUGAACCCAUAUGGGAUUAGCUAGUAGGUGGGGUAAUGGCUCACCUAGGCGACGAUCCCUAGCUGGUCUGAGAGGAUGAUCAGCCACACUGGGACUGAGACACGGCCCAGACUCCUACGGGAGGCAGCAGUGGGGAAUAUUGCACAAUGGGCGCAAGCCUGAUGCAGCCAUGCCGCGUGUAUGAAGAAGGCC